This is a long non-coding RNA of Pipistrellus kuhlii (Kuhl's pipistrelle), 1761 nucleotides long. RefSeq lists it as uncharacterized. The transcript is spliced from 2 exons. The record is from RefSeq and is a predicted model, not a curated record. Lineage: Eukaryota; Metazoa; Chordata; Mammalia; Chiroptera; Vespertilionidae.
GAUUGGCUGUGCCCUGCACACCCCCCUACUGAGAAUUGAGUCUGCAACCCUGGCAUGUGCCCUUGACUGGAAUUGAAUCUGAGACCCUUCAAUCCACAGGCCUAUGUUCUUUCUAUCCACUGACAAACUGACUAGGGCCAGAAGCAGUUUUCAACACAGCUGCUCAUUUGAGUUUUGUUCUGCCCAGUAGACUAUGCAGACCAGUGAAGAAAUCUUGGUUUUCAGUAAUUUUCAGUAUGGGAUGUAAAAUUCCUGAAGCAUAUGGCUAGGACUAUCGCUUUAAUUUUUAUUGAAGUUUAUCUUGGUAUAAUUUCCUGUAAGUUGAGCACUGAGCUAAUGCCAAAAGGAUUUUUUUCUCUUGGCUGUAGUAUUCACAAUUCCUGAAAUGGCAACUUGAGAAAAAAGGUGUCGAUUUCAUGUGUGUUAACAUGUUUUAGGUUGAUAGUCAAAUGCUAGUUCAUUUGUCAUGAAGUGCUGCAGAAAUAAAUCCAGUCCAGAAAGUUGCAUUCUGGAAUGAGUUUUAGAUUCUGGUGAUUGAGAGAGCCAUUUCAGAUGAGAGAAGAGGGGAAAUAAUAAUUUUUUUUUUUCUGUUUACUUUCCUAAAGUUUUCUCUGAUCUGUGUUUGCUUUUCAUAACUGCUCCCUCCCCCCCCAAGCCCUUAGUUUCUCCCAAAUAGCAUCAAAGUCACUGACCAACCUUCAUUAUUUGCAGAUUUCUGGGAACUCAUGACUGGUUAAAACAAGAAAUGAAGCAUAACUAUUGUAAACUAGAGGUGCCGUGCAGUCUGGGAGCCCUUGGGGGAAUGUCAGGCCCCCCCACUCCUGCUCCCGUGGACAUCCCUAUGGGAGAGCACUGAUUGAUCUUGUUGAGAUAAUUUUGAAUCUCGAGCCUACUAUCUAGAAUGUUAAAAUGUGGGCUUUGUCAUUUACACAUCUGAUACUUAGAAUUCUGUUUCUGUAGUUUUAUUUAAAUUAUUGGUUACUACUAAACAAAAUAGGUCCAAAAACAGACAAGCAGGUAUUGCACUAGAGAAAUGUUCUUUGAUUAUGGUACAGCCAAUUGCAAAUUCCCCUAAUAAAAUUGCAUUACCAAAAUUAUCUAGGUCAUAUCUAUAUUAUUAUUACCAAGACUAUAAUCUAGGUCAUUUCCCACCAUUUUAUCAAGGUAAUCAUGAGGAAAUUUUUAUCAAAUGUUUGGUAAAAGCAAGGUGGAGCAUGAUGGAAUAGUUCUCACCCUCUGGUGACGCAGCUGCAACAUUUUCUGCGGUCUGGGUUGUAGGCAUUAAGUACAAGGACUGCAGCUAUGUCAUUGCAAAAAAAAAAAAAAAAAAAGAGUGGGGGGGCCUGACAGCCUCACCUUAGCUAUUGUCAUACUUUGUUGAUUGACCCUUUGGACCUCUGUUGCACCUCCUACAGGAUUCUGCAUAGAGCUGACAACUCAGUUAAAUGUCGUAUGAGAAAUAAGGUGGCUUUUAUUACAUUAUGGUUAGAUAUAGAAACUUUCUCAUAACCAAGUCUUAUAUGAAAGGGAAUACAUCUCUUGGAACUCAGUUUCUCAUAUAUAGAACUGUUCAUAAGUGUUUUUCUUCAAUGUCUACCUGACUGAAGUUUAUUAAACUGCCCCACCCUUGAGGUUGUUCUUUGUGAAACUGGAAAUAUAGAAAAUCCAGUAAGUUUCCUUUCAUUGUUUGAAAUGUGUGUACACACACAUACGGAGUCUGGUCUUGUAAUACAGUAUAGUCUAAAAAUGCUUUCUUUAAAA